UCAAGCGUUGUUCGGAUUCAUUGGGCGUAAAGGGUGCGUAGGUGGCGCCGUAAGUCAGGUGUGAAAUUUCGGAGCUUAACUCCGAAACUGCAUUUGAUACUGCGGUGCUUGAGGACUGGAGAGGAGACUGGAAUUUACGGUGUAGCAGUGAAAUGCGUAGAGAUCGUAAGGAAGACCAGUGGCGAAGGCGGGUCUCUGGACAGUUCCUGACACUGAGGCACGAAGGCCAGGGGAGCAAGCGGG
This 243-nucleotide ribosomal RNA is filed under the name uncultured bacterium. RNAcentral describes it as "partial 16S ribosomal RNA". It matches the Rfam family "Bacterial small subunit ribosomal RNA", at positions 534 to 776 of the family's 1533-position model. The record is from RNAcentral.